GACGAACGCUGGCGGCGUGCUUAACACAUGCAAGUCGAACGAUGAAACCUAGCUUGCUAGGUCGAUUAGUGGCGAACGGGUGAGUAACACGUGACUAACCUGCCCCUUUCUCUGGGAUAACGCUCCGAAAGGAGUGCUAAUACCGGAUACUCACAUCGAGGAACAUGCCUUGGUGUGGAACGUUUUUCGGAAAGGGAUGGAGUCGCGGCCUAUCAGCUUGUUGGUGAGGUAACGGCUCACCAAGGCGACGACGGGUAGCCGGCCUGAGAGGGCGACCGGCCACACUGGGACUGAGACACGGCCCAGACUCCUACGGGAGGCAGCAGUGGGGAAUAUUGCACAAUGGGCGCAAGCCUGAUGCAGCGACGCCGCGUGAGGGAUGAAGGUCUUCGGAUUGUAAACCUCUUUCAGUAGGGACGAAGCGAAAGUGACGGUACCUAAAGAAGAAGCACCGGCCAACUACGUGCCAGCAGCCGCGGUAA
Molecule: ribosomal RNA, 482 nt
Filed under: uncultured bacterium
Lineage: Bacteria
Description: partial 16S ribosomal RNA
Rfam family: Bacterial small subunit ribosomal RNA
Source: RNAcentral